CACCCAUAAUUUUUUUAGCCGCCUCACCCUUCUCAGUUCUCCCUCAAUUUUCUCUCACUCUUCAAUGUUAUUCUUGCAUGAUCUCUGCCCCCUUCACUCUGCUUUUCUUGAGUUCUUCCAACUAAUCCUCCAUUUCUCCUCACAAUCAACUUCUUCAAUCAUCCCUUCCUCUCUAAACAGCUCUUCUUCAAUCCUCACACUUGGUAGCAUUGUCUCCAUAUCUCAUCUCCAACAUAUCGAAAUCAAUGAUAGGAGACGUUCAAAGGACCACCAGAUCACAUCACCAUCAGCUAGAAGAACCACCAUAGUCGACAUCUCCAGUCCAGAUCGCAUCAUGUCUCCAGUCAAAAUCCACAUGCAUAGGCAAACUUGAUUCUUGCAGACGCCGAGACACACAUCCACAAGGAUGCCAAGACCCAAGCGGCUAGCAGCUCUAUUUUAUUCCUUUGUGAUUGCUAAAAUUGUGUUGGCUAUGAGUCUUAGUUUGUUUCUUAGACAAAAAUUGUGAUGUUAUUUUGUUGUGACUCUACCAUGUGGAAUUUUGUUUUCAUGUAUCUGCAAAAUAUUUGUGAGCUUUGUAUGGAUUGCUGGGUAGAUGUAGCACAUUUGGGAAUUCUUUUCCUUUUUUGUUUUUCAAAGAGAAUUAAAAA
RNAcentral lists this unclassified non-coding RNA (650 nucleotides) under Hevea brasiliensis (rubber tree). Lineage: Eukaryota; Viridiplantae; Streptophyta; Magnoliopsida; Malpighiales; Euphorbiaceae. The record is from RNAcentral.